Molecule: ribosomal RNA, 492 nt
Filed under: uncultured bacterium
Lineage: Bacteria
Description: partial 16S ribosomal RNA
Rfam family: Bacterial small subunit ribosomal RNA
Source: RNAcentral
AGUGAACGCUGGCGGUAGGCCUAACACAUGCAAGUCGAACGGCAGCACAGUAAGAGCUUGCUCUUACGGGUGGCGAGUGGCGGACGGGUGAGGAUAACACCGGAACCUAUUUUUUCGUGGGGGAUACCGUAGGGAAACUUACGCUAAUACCGCAUACGACCUACGGCGGAAACCAGGGGAUCUCCGGCCCUGGCCGGAUUGAUUGACCCGAUGUCGGAUCAGCUAGUCGGCGGGGAAAAGGCCCACCAAGGCGACGAUCCGUAGCUGGUCUGAGAGGAGGAUCGGCCACACUGGGACUGAGACACGGUCCAGACUCCUGCGGGAGGCAGCAGUGGGGAAUGUUGGACGAUGGGCGCAAGCCUGAUCCAGCCAUACCGCGUGGGUGAAGAAGGCCUUCGGGUUGUAAAGCCCUUUUGUUGGGAAAGAAAAGCAGCAGGUUAAUACCCCGCUGUUCUGACGGUACCCAAAGAAUAAGCACCGGCUAACUUCGUG